CUGCUUUCAAAAAUAACUUAGCGGCGGACGGGUGAGUAACACGUAGGCAACCUGCCCCUUAGACUGGGAUAACUACCGGAAACGGUAGCUAAUACCGGAUAAUUUCUUUUUUCUCCUGAAGAGAGAAUGAAAGACGGAGCAAUCUGUCACUGAGGGAUGGGCCUGCGGCGCAUUAGCUAGUUGGUGAGGUAACGGCUCACCAAGGCGACGAUGCGUAGCCGACCUGAGAGGGUGAACGGCCACACUGGGACUGAGACACGGCCCAGACUCCUACGGGAGGCAGCAGUAGGGAAUCUUCCGCAAUGGGCGAAAGCCUGACGGAGCAAUGCCGCGUGAGUGAUGAAGGUUUUCGGAUCGUAAAGCUCUGUUGCCAGGGAAGAACGUCCGGUAGAGUAACUGCUACCGGAGUGACGGUACCUGAGAAGAAAGCCCCGGCUAACUACGUGCCAGCAGCCGCGGUAAUACGUAGGGGGCAAGCGUUGUCCGGAAUUAUUGGGCGUAAAGCGCGCGCAGGCGGCUACUUAAGUCUGGUGUUUAAACCUUGGGCUCAACCUAAGGUCGCACUGGAAACUGGGUGGCUUGAGUACAGAAGAGGAAAGUGGAAUUCCACGUGUAGCGGUGAAAUGCGUAGAUAUGUGGAGGAACACCAGUGGCGAAGGCGACUUUCUGGGCUGUAACUGACGCUGAGGCGCGAAAGCGUGGGGAGCAAACAGGAUUAGAUACCCUGGUAGUCCACGCCGUAAACGAUGAGUGCUAGGUGUUAGGGGUUUCGAUACCCGAGGCCGAUUACCUAAGUAAGCAUCCGCUGGGAGACGUCGCAGACG
Molecule: ribosomal RNA, 824 nt
Filed under: Paenibacillus sp. TmMRS5
Lineage: Bacteria; Bacillati; Bacillota; Bacilli; Caryophanales; Paenibacillaceae
Description: bacterial SSU rRNA
Rfam family: Bacterial small subunit ribosomal RNA
Source: RNAcentral